Molecule: long non-coding RNA, 1302 nt
Filed under: Cyanistes caeruleus (blue tit)
Lineage: Eukaryota; Metazoa; Chordata; Aves; Passeriformes; Paridae
Description: lncRNA (ENSCCEG00000011362.1)
Source: RNAcentral
AAAACCAGUCCAUAAAACAUACAACACAUUUAAGAACGUCAAAGUUAAUUAUGAAAGAUUUCAUGGCCUACCAGGAUCCAUGUUCAUAUGGAAUACUGAGACUCCAGUCAGCAGCUAACCCACAGAAGAUACCAUUCCAGUUUCAUGUCAUUUAUCAGAAUGAUAAGACCAACUGGAAAAGAAAUGUCAGCCUGAUUACAGAGAUUCCUGUUCUACUGUCAGCUAUCAAGGUUAGAGUUUUAUUCCCCAUUUUACAAGUUUUUGCUGACAUGAAUAAGCUGUGCAUUCUAAUAUACCUGUGAUAUAACCUUUCUCCUCCUUUAGCAAACAAUUUUACUACAUAAUUACAAGUAAACACUUAAGUUUGCUUAGAGUAUAAACAGCUUAAAUACAGUUAAAAUGUUGAAUUUUUUGUUAGAUACUUCUGAACUUCCAUCAAAAGUAAAAAUUACAUUUCCUAAUCCUUUUAUAUGUUAUUUGAAGAGAAUUUUCCUCUAGAAUUUGUUCAUACUGCAUGGCUUAAAUAAGCACAAAACCUGCUGUAGUCACUGUAAAACAGCCCAAAAUAAUGAUCUGCCUGUGUGCAGCUAAGUGGGGUCAAGCAAACACUGGACUACAUCAGCAUAUGCCUUGUGAUUUGACCAAGAAUUUUCCAAUACCUCUGACAGUCAGUUCAGGAUCCCCUAGGAAGGUCUGUGACUUCAUGAACACUCAAUGCUAAAAUAUUCAAAGGAAAACACAGCCAGGUAUUUAACUGCCUAAAUUGCAUGGAAGAAAUUUAGCUCCAUUUUGUAUGCUGAGCUACUCUUUGAAAUUGAGCUAAAACUAUUCAGUGUCUGAUUUACCAUCCUACCCACCUCAAAGAUGAGAGCAAGCAGCUAUAAUUCAACUUAAAUCUGCUUUAAAGCAUGGUGUUCUAAAAUCCUUCUGAUUUCCACAUUCCACUGGCUGUGUUCUCACUGGUGAUACACCAGAACAUCACAAUCCAUAAUUUGAACACAUCCCAACAUGCAAACAUCCCACCAGGGGAGAUCCCUACUGGCCACACCCUGAAAUGAGAGUGCCCUGCCUUGCUGGAAGCUACUCCUGGUGCUCACCACAAAGGAUGCUCAGCCAGGGACAGGUGGGAGGGAAGGUCUUGAUACCACAGGAAAGCUUCUGGCAGUGCCAAAUCCAGUUCUAGUCUCUCCCUCACUGCUACAAGUUUUUCAUGGUUUUUUUUUUUUUUAACACUACUUUUCCAGCCUUUACUUCAGAAGUUUCCUGGUAAUUCUGACUGCAGGCCACCUCACUUCCAGAAAA